This 216-nucleotide ribosomal RNA is filed under the name Glomeromycotina sp. Its description in RNAcentral is "partial small subunit ribosomal RNA". The stretch from base 40 to 216 matches the Rfam family "Eukaryotic small subunit ribosomal RNA", at positions 686 to 864 of the family's 1831-position model. Lineage: Eukaryota; Fungi; Glomeromycota. The record is from RNAcentral.
GGGUGAGUUGGUUGGUCGUGCCACCGGUACGUACUGGUCUCACUGAUUCCUCCUUCCUGAAGAACCGUAAUGCCAUUAAUUUGGUGUUGCGGGGAAACAGGACUGUUACUUUGAAAAAAUUAUAGUGUUUAAAGCAAGCUAACGCUUGAAUACAUUAGCAUGGAAUAAUGAAAUAGGACGAUCGAUCCUAUUUUGUUGGUUUGUAGGAUUGACGUA